Molecule: ribosomal RNA, 303 nt
Filed under: Phaeomonas parva
Lineage: Eukaryota; Pinguiophyceae; Pinguiochrysidales; Pinguiochrysidaceae
Description: partial Bacterial small subunit ribosomal RNA
Rfam family: Bacterial small subunit ribosomal RNA
Source: RNAcentral
AUUACAAAUAGAUGCUAAAAAAAAAUUUAGAGCAACUCUAUAAAAAUUUUCUUAGUUCGGAUUGUUAGGCUGCAAUUCGCCAACAUGAAGUCGGAAUCAUAAGUAAUCGUAAAUAAGUACGUUACGGUGAAUUUUGCCUUGACCUUGCACUCACCGCCUGUCAAGCCGAGCGAGUUUGCGUUUUCCGAAGACUAAAAUUUAAUGGAUAGAGAGUUAUCUCGCCGGUAAAUUUUUUUUGAAGAAAAAACAAGCAAGAAUGGUUAAGUCAUAACAAGGUAGUGGUUCGGGAACGAGCUGCUGGAA